This 155-nucleotide ribosomal RNA is filed under the name Nitrospirota bacterium. RNAcentral describes it as "Nitrospirae bacterium (marine metagenome) partial 23S ribosomal RNA". It matches the Rfam family "Bacterial large subunit ribosomal RNA", at positions 1 to 155 of the family's 2925-position model. Lineage: Bacteria; Pseudomonadati; Nitrospirota. The record is from RNAcentral.
GGUCAAGAUAGUAAGGGCAUACGGUGGAUGCCUUGGCAUCAGGCGGCGAAGAAGGGCGUGGCAGGCUACGAAAAUCCACGGGGAGCUGCGAGCAAGCCUCGAUCCGUGGGUACCCGAAUGGGGCAACCCGGUUCCGGUAAUACGGGAUCAUCCCG